CAAGUCGAACGAUGAACCUCGCUUGCGGGGGGAUUAGUGGCGAACGGGUGAGUAACACGUGAGUAACCUGCCCUUAACUCUGGGAUAAGCCUUGGAAACGGGGUCUAAUACUGGAUAUUGACUUUUCCUCGCAUGGGGAUUGGUUGAAAGAUUUAUUGGUUUUGGAUGGACUCGCGGCCUAUCAGCUUGUUGGUGAGGUAAUGGCUCACCAAGGCGACGACGGGUAGCCGGCCUGAGAGGGUGACCGGCCACACUGGGACUGAGACACGGCCCAGACUCCUACGGGAGGCAGCAGUGGGGAAUAUUGCACAAUGGGCGAAAGCCUGAUGCAGCGACGCCGCGUGAGGGAUGACGGCCUUCGGGUUGUAAACCUCUUUCAGUAGGGAACAAGGCCAGUGUUUAGCUGGUUGAGGGUACUUGCAGAAGAAGCGCCGGCUAACUACGUGCCAGCAGCCGCGGUAAUACGUAGGGCGCAAGCGUUAUCCGGAAUUAUUGGGCGUAAAGAGCUCGUAGGCGGUUUGUCGCGUCUGCCGUGAAAGUCCGGGGCUCAACCCCGGAUCUGCGGUGGGUACGGGCAGACUAGAGUGAUGUAGGGGAGACUGGAAUUCCUGGUGUAGCGGUGAAAUGCGCAUAUAUCAGGAGGAACACCGAUGGCGAA
RNAcentral lists this ribosomal RNA (658 nucleotides) under Arthrobacter sp. TSBY-16. Its description in RNAcentral is "bacterial SSU rRNA". It matches the Rfam family "Bacterial small subunit ribosomal RNA", at positions 58 to 719 of the family's 1533-position model. Lineage: Bacteria; Bacillati; Actinomycetota; Actinomycetes; Micrococcales; Micrococcaceae. The record is from RNAcentral.